RNAcentral lists this ribosomal RNA (465 nucleotides) under Vreelandella stevensii. RNAcentral's name for it is "partial 16S ribosomal RNA". It matches the Rfam family "Bacterial small subunit ribosomal RNA", at positions 338 to 795 of the family's 1533-position model. Lineage: Bacteria; Pseudomonadati; Pseudomonadota; Gammaproteobacteria; Oceanospirillales; Halomonadaceae. The record is from RNAcentral.
CCUACGGGUGGCUGCAGUGGGGAGUAUUGGACAAUGGGCGAAAGCCUGAUCCAGCCAUGCCGCGUGUGUGAAGAAGGCCUUCGGGUUGUAAAGCACUUUCAGUGGGGAAGAAAGCCUUGGGGCUAAUACCCUCGAGGAAGGACAUCACCCACAGAAGAAGCACCGGCUAACUCCGUGCCAGCAGCCGCGGUAAUACGGAGGGUGCGAGCGUUAAUCGGAAUUACUGGGCGUAAAGCGCGCGUAGGCGGUCUGAUAAGCCGGUUGUGAAAGCCCCGGGCUCAACCUGGGAACGGCAUCCGGAACUGGCAGGCUAGAGUGCAGGAGAGGAAGGUAGAAUUCCCGGUGUAGCGGUGAAAUGCGUAGAGAUCGGGAGGAAUACCAGUGGCGAAGGCGGCCUUCUGGACUGACACUGACGCUGAGGUGCGAAAGCGUGGGUAGCAAACAGGAUUAGAUACCCGUGUAGUC